GUCUAUGGCCACACCACCCUGAAUGCGCCCGAUCUCAUCUGAUCUCGGAAGCUAAGCAGGAUCAGGCCUGGGUAAGUACUUGGAUGGGAGAAAAUUGAAAUGUUUGAAACU
RNAcentral lists this ribosomal RNA (111 nucleotides) under Chinchilla lanigera (long-tailed chinchilla). The record is from RNAcentral. Lineage: Eukaryota; Metazoa; Chordata; Mammalia; Rodentia; Chinchillidae.